RNAcentral lists this ribosomal RNA (120 nucleotides) under Parabacteroides johnsonii. RNAcentral's name for it is "partial 16S ribosomal RNA". It matches the Rfam family "Bacterial small subunit ribosomal RNA", at positions 1 to 111 of the family's 1533-position model. The record is from RNAcentral. Lineage: Bacteria; Pseudomonadati; Bacteroidota; Bacteroidia; Bacteroidales; Tannerellaceae.
ACAACGAAGAGUUUGAUCCUGGCUCAGGAUGAACGCUAGCGACAGGCUUAACACAUGCAAGUCGAGGGGCAGCAUGGUAAGUAGCAAUACUUAUUGAUGGCGACCGGCGCACGGGUGAGU